AGUGAACGCUGGCGGUAGGCCUAACACAUGCAAGUCGAACGGCAGCACAGUAAGAGCUUGCUCUUACGGGUGGCGAGUGGCGGACGGGUGAGGAAUACAUCGGAAUCUACUUUUUCGUGGGGGCUAACGUAGGGAAACUUACGCUAAUACCGCAUACGACCUACGGGUGAAAGCAGGGGAUCUUCGGACCUUGCGCGAUUGAAUGAGCCGAUGUCGGAUUAGCUAGUUGGCGGGGUAAAGGCCCACCAAGGCGACGAUCCGUAGCUGGUCUGAGAGGAUGAUCAGCCACACUGGAACUGAGACACGGUCCAGACUCCUACGGGAGGCAGCAGUGGGGAAUAUUGGACAAUGGGCGAAAGCCUGAUCCAGCCAUACCGCGUGGGUGAAGAAGGCCUUCGGGUUGUAAAGCCCUUUUGUUGGGAAAGAAAAGCAGCAGGUUAAUACCCCGCUGUUCUGACGGUACCAAAAGAAUAAGCACCGGCUAACUUCGUG
This 492-nucleotide ribosomal RNA is filed under the name uncultured bacterium. RNAcentral describes it as "partial 16S ribosomal RNA". It matches the Rfam family "Bacterial small subunit ribosomal RNA", at positions 29 to 507 of the family's 1533-position model. The record is from RNAcentral.